AACAAGGCGUACCUGCGGACCUGCGGAGGGAUCAUUACAAGUGACCCCGGCCUAACCACCGGGAUGUUCAUAACCCUUUGUUGUCCGACUCUGUUGCCUCCGGGGCGACCCUGCCUUCGGGCGGGGGCUCCGGGUGGACACUUCAAACUCUUGCGUAACUUUGCAGUCUGAGUAAACUUAAUUAAUAAAUUAAAACUUUUAACAAUGGAUCU
Molecule: unclassified non-coding RNA, 212 nt
Filed under: soil metagenome
Description: partial contains 5.8S ribosomal RNA, internal transcribed spacer 2, and large subunit ribosomal RNA
Source: RNAcentral